GUGUGGGCCCCGCUUUCCCCCAGCGCUGGAGACUCCGAGCCCGGCCGGUCCCACAUUCCACGCGAGCUGAAUUCCCGCCCGCAUCCCGCCCGGGCAGCAGGGAUUGCCGGCUCCGGGAGGCGCUCGGGCUCCGAGAAGCGGCUCAGCCCCGCGCCCCUCCCUCCUCAGUACCGCUGCCGGCGGACCAGGAUUCCCGCGGGUCCUGGCGGCUGCGAGCGCGAGGCGGCGCGGAUUCGCGGCUCGGUUCCGGCGCGACUGCUCACCGCGCCCGCCUCGCCUCCCGCGGCUGCCAGCGUGCACUGGGCGCUCCUCGGCGCGUCUGCCCGGCCCGUCUCGGCUUUCCUUCUCCUUCCUCUAGUCCCAGCGUCACAACUCCGCCGACCUCCUCUGCCCUGAGAGCGCGUCCGGUGCGGGCGGAGUCGGACGGACUCUGGCUUCACGCCUCGCGCGGGCACACCUUCUCCCGGGCACUGAGGCCCAGUUAUUAGGGGAGGCAGAGUCCUUCUGGAGUUUGACCCUUGGAUUCCAUCCAGAGCAGCCUCCAAAAUGACACCUUUGAAGUUGUGUAUCGAGCUGGGGGAUGUAAAGGGAGGAGAAGAAAGAAGAUGAAGAGAUACCAGCCAGCCUUAAGGAGUGGACAUCCUGCCUGGUGAAACUGAACAAGACACCUACCGCAUAUGGAGUUUCGCUCUGUCGCCCAGGCUGGAGUGCAGUGGUGCCAUCUCGGCUCACCGCAACCUCCACCUCCAGGUUCAAGUGAUUCUCCUGCCUCAGCCUCUCAAGUAGCUGGGAUUACAGGAGCCCUCUCCCACCGCUCCUACACUGCUGGUAAAAGGCAGCCGCACUGCCUGCUGGAAGACCUGCCAGCUUGGGCUUCAGAGCACUUCUGCCUCAGAUCCACGACGAUCCCUUCUGUCAUCGUGGGACCUUUCCUGGGAUUUGAUUUAGGGCGACGCUUCCUCCUGUCUGUGUCCUGAGUCCUGCCUUCCCUGGCUGGUCCUCUUUGCUUAGUCACCCAGAUCAUUCCCAGACAGCUGCGCCCUGGAUAUGGCUCCUCUCAUGUGCUGCCUGGAAAUGUCUCCUCUCUUCUCACCUGCUGAGAGGUCCUUCUGGGCAGGGACUCGGGCAGAUUCAUUCCUGCCUGCCCCACAUUUCCCUAGCCCAGGGCCUGGCCCGUUGCAGUGCUGAAGGAUGAUUCUGGUAAGAAACAAGGUACUCCAGCUCACAUCUUGCAAUGAUUAUGCCUCCCCCACUCUCCCUUCUCCUUGCAGUUCUCUCUCUUCACUGAUGAUUUUGGAUGCAAUUUAAAAUAAAAAUAUUGAUUAAAAAUGGAAACUAUAUAAAUAAAAAUAAAAACACUUAACAUCAA
Molecule: long non-coding RNA, 1369 nt
Organism: Homo sapiens (human)
Lineage: Eukaryota; Metazoa; Chordata; Mammalia; Primates; Hominidae
Product: MIR3659 host gene
Exons: 5
Source: RefSeq, marked validated